UCUUUUACCCCUUCCAGUCUCUCUCCGCAGCCACCAACUCCCAAUACAUCUUACCUCAUCUUCUCAUACUUGCGGCUUUUAUUGCCUGAAUUCUCCCUCUAGAAUCUCAGUCCCCGUCAGAACACCCAGCCAGCGGUGUGAUGGACAAGCCCCACAGAAUUGCCCAGAUAUUGACUAAGCACAAGGGCCCCAGCCCUUCUCUUGGCCCUCAGAUAAAAGCAGAAAAGGAAGCACGAAGUUCAGCUCCAGCAACGUAAGAGUUAAAUAACCCGGAUCUACCCUUCUUGCCAGCGCCUGCUUCCCUGCUUCCAUCUGGCCAAGACCCUCCGCCCCGCGGUGGUCCUUGAACAGACACAACCAGCCAUCUGCCAGGCCCAUUCCUGGGUCUGUGGCAUCUCCCAUCAUGCACUUGGAGGUGUUCACUAAUUGAUGGA
Long non-coding RNA from Dipodomys spectabilis (banner-tailed kangaroo rat), 434 nucleotides. RefSeq lists it as uncharacterized. The transcript has 3 exons. The record is from RefSeq and is a predicted model, not a curated record. NCBI's taxonomy places the organism in Eukaryota, Metazoa, Chordata, Mammalia, Rodentia, Heteromyidae.